RNAcentral lists this ribosomal RNA (163 nucleotides) under Anisopleura comes. Its description in RNAcentral is "5.8S ribosomal RNA". Lineage: Eukaryota; Metazoa; Arthropoda; Insecta; Odonata; Euphaeidae. The record is from RNAcentral.
UAAAAAUUAAAUUCUUAACGGGGGAUCAUUCGGCUUGGGGGUCGAUGAAAGACCCCAGAAACUGGGCAUUGAAUUGGGAACUGGAGGACCCCUGAACCUUGACGCUUUGAACCCCCAUUGGAACCAAAAUCUAACGGGGGUCCAUUCUUUUCCGGNUCUUNUU